UCUGCGACUUUGAGCGACUGGACAUAGGAAGUGGGCAGGACCAGAGACAAACUCCUUGAAUUCAAGGUGAGCAACUGAAGUAACUACCAAUGAGAGCAAAUGAUAGCACUGAUUGACAUAUUGUCACGGUCUGGUUGGGCACCUGCAGGUCUCAGACAGCGGCUCCUCCUCCUUUAGGCGGAGUCCGGUUGCCCCUCCCGGGCUGACCACCUGUGAGCAAUCGUGCCAGCGGUAUAUCAGACCUGCGCUCUCAACCCCUCAUCGCCUGAGUAUCUGCUAUUCCCAUUGAUAGCACCCGGAGUGGAGAUCUUGUUCCCCUCGCUCCCAUCCUCCUGGACCGGGGCCGCCAGCUGCUUACACAACGUGGCCUGCCGGCCCACCGCUCACCUGCCUGCCUCCCCACGCCUCGACCGCUUCCGGAUUUUCCGCUCCACCUGUCCCCUCCAUCUGAAACCAAUGCCCACGGCCCCUGCCUAGUCCUGUUUCUACCUCCCCGCUGUUCCCGCUGUCAGCUGUCUCCUAGAGGUGUCUAGGUCGCCCUCAUUAUCCCUGACGAACCCUACGCGCCACUAGUGUGGUGGCGUCGCUUUAUGUUUUGCCUUUGUUUUCAUGUGGGCGGAAUAAAUCAUUUGUUUUCAGUCACCUCGCUUCCGGGUUGGUUUCUGCGCCUGUGUCCAUCCCUGUUCCCUCGUGCCGCUGGGC
This is a long non-coding RNA of Pundamilia nyererei, 702 nucleotides long. RefSeq lists it as uncharacterized. The transcript is spliced from 3 exons. NCBI's taxonomy places the organism in Eukaryota, Metazoa, Chordata, Actinopteri, Cichliformes, Cichlidae. The record is from RefSeq and is a predicted model, not a curated record.